GCGACGGUAGCUCAGCCGGGAUGAGCGCUUCCUUCACACGGAAGAGGUCACGUGUUCGAUCCACGUCCGCCGCA
RNAcentral lists this transfer RNA (74 nucleotides) under Lachnospiraceae bacterium. RNAcentral describes it as "tRNA-Val". The record is from RNAcentral. RNAcentral also lists the same sequence under 1 other name. Lineage: Bacteria; Bacillati; Bacillota; Clostridia; Lachnospirales; Lachnospiraceae.